This 426-nucleotide long non-coding RNA is filed under the name Calidris pugnax (ruff). RNAcentral describes it as "lncRNA (ENSCPUG00000015758.1)". The record is from RNAcentral. Lineage: Eukaryota; Metazoa; Chordata; Aves; Charadriiformes; Scolopacidae.
GGAAGCACAGAUGAAUCACAUUUCCUUCUUCAUCCUCAGAUAAAGGUGUCUGCAGAGCAGCUGUGCCUGAACGCCAUGUGAGAUUUACAGCUGCUUUCAGUUCUGCAGCCUUUUAGAAGGAAAAACCCAACCAAUAACAAAGUGGAGGAAAGAAAGUCUUUUGUGUCAGUGGAGACGAUCUCUGUGGGACAGACAUUACCAAACACCAUUAUUCUACUGAAAACUGAGGCAUUCUCUUUAUAGCAUGAACACAUUCGUCUGCCUCUUUAAGAAAUUGCGAUUCUUAAUUUUCUUGAAGAACAUUGAUUCAGAGACUUAACAAGACCAAUGGCCCAGGUGAAUAGCAACAACAGGAUCUAUCCAAGAGAAGUUUACUCUGCCUCUCAUAGCUCUUCAAGUCCCUGUGUUGAUGCAAACCUGACGUAG